AACGCAUAUUGCGCUCUCUGGUAUUCCGGAGAGCAUGCUUGUUUGAGUAUCAGUAAACACCUCAAACUCCUAAUUAGUGUGUAAAUAUUAAUUAGUGGUUUGGAUUUGAGUAAUCCCAACAUGAAUAUCUUAUUUAUGGCGGGUUAUUUAAAAUGCAGGUGCAGCUGGAUUUUCAUCUGAGCUAAAGGCAUAUUUAUUUAGUCCCUUCAAAAGGAUUAUUACUUUGCUUCAGCUAAUUUUAAAGGAUGAAUUUCUAAUUUUUGCUGACUGAUGCAGGAAAACUACAAAAGUUGGGAGGAUUCUCUCUCUCUUUGUAUUUCUCGAUCUCAAAUCAAGUAAGACUACCCGCUGAACUUAA
RNAcentral lists this unclassified non-coding RNA (358 nucleotides) under uncultured fungus. RNAcentral's name for it is "partial contains 5.8S ribosomal RNA, internal transcribed spacer 2, and large subunit ribosomal RNA". The stretch from base 1 to 52 matches the Rfam family "5.8S ribosomal RNA", at positions 103 to 154 of the family's 154-position model. Lineage: Eukaryota; Fungi. The record is from RNAcentral.